UUGAAGUUAGUGGCGGACGGGUGAGUAACACGUGGGUAACCUGCCUCACAGCUGGGGAUAACAUCGAGAAAUCGAUGCUAAUACCGAAUGUGCUGAACAUCAUAAGAUGUUCAAGUGAAAGACGGUUUCGGCUGUCACUGUGAGAUGGACCCGCGCUGGAUUAGCUAGUUGGUAAGGUAAUGGCUUACCAAGGCGACGAUCCAUAGCCGACCUGAGAGGGUGAUCGGCCACAUUGGGACUGAGACACGGCCCAAACUCCUACGGGAGGCAGCAGUAGGGAAUCUUCGGCAAUGGACGAAAGUCUGACCGAGCAACGCCGCGUGAGCGAAGAAGGCCUUCGGGUCGUAAAGCUCUGUUGUUAGAGAAGAACAUGGGUGAGAGUAACUGUUCACCCCUUGACGGUAUCUAACCAGAAAGCCACGGCUAACUACGUGCCAGCAGCCGCGGUAAUACGUAGGUGGCAAGCGUUGUCCGGAAUUAUUGGGCGUAAAGCGCGCGCAGGCGGUCUCUUAAGUCUGAUGUGAAAGCCCCCGGCUCAACCGGGGAGGGUCAUUGGAAACUGGGAGACUUGAGGACAGAAGAGGAGAGUGGAAUUCCAAGUGUAGCGGUGAAAUGCGUAGAUAUUUGGAGGAACACCAGUGGCGAAGGCGGCUCUCUGGUCUGUUACUGACGCUGAGGCGCGAAAGCGUGGGGAGCAAACAGGAUUAGAUACCCUGGUAGUCCACGCCGUAAACGAUGAGUGCUAAGUGUUAGGGGGUUUCCGCCCCUUAGUGCUGCAGUUAACGCAUAAGC
Molecule: ribosomal RNA, 792 nt
Filed under: Brochothrix sp. 22L
Lineage: Bacteria; Bacillati; Bacillota; Bacilli; Caryophanales; Listeriaceae
Description: bacterial SSU rRNA
Rfam family: Bacterial small subunit ribosomal RNA
Source: RNAcentral